GAGCGCCGCCGACUGGUACGACUACUCGCCCAGUAAGCCAAGAUGGAGUCGCGCUUCUCACCGAGCAAAGGGACGUAUCCAUGCACACUACGCUUCCUUCUUCAAUGAAACGGAUUUUCCCCACCAGUCCUUCAGCAUCGGGCAACUGAAUACGGUCGGGCCGUCGGGGGGGGGGGAUUUUUUCUUUUUUUUCUUUUUCGGAUAGUCGCAAAUAUAUGAAGCCAUGAGCUCGGGGGGAGGCGAAGACACGACUAAGGACGGGGCCGACAUAGCGGCGUUUUUCAAAUCCGAUUGCUCUCUUCCCAAGUGUGAGGCUAAGCAUGAUUUAGCCGGACACACUGGUGCGGAAGUGCUGAUUUAUUGCUGUGAGAGCAUAUGGAGCCGUUUUAAAAUGAAUGAUGAGGAGGUGCAUAUGUUGCGCACGAGUGGCCGAGCCGCAGCGGUUCUGCCGCAUUCCCGGCGGUGCGAGGGUCCUUCUCUGAUUGCAGCCUGAAGUGCGUGAGGCUCACACUGAGGGUUGGCUUGCCUCUGCUGGGCCCGAGUAACAUUUGCACAAAGAAUCCUCCCAGACAAGACUUUUGUCCGGCCUGCCAAAUCACCGGUCUGUCGGCGCCGGUCAGGCCAGCCGCGGCCCGACUCACUCCGCACCGCUCCGGACCAGCUCUUGAAAGCACCAGUGUUUUGCUUAAGCCUGGCAGGAAAGGAAUAAAAGCCUUAAAAUGUCAGGCCUGCGUCCGGAGUGCUUCUUUAGCAGGUGGGGGGCAAAACACAUUCAGCGAUGGCUUGAAGGAGCAAAGUGGUGGAUUGUGUUAGAUAACACACAAG
Long non-coding RNA from Electrophorus electricus (electric eel), 825 nucleotides. NCBI's taxonomy places the organism in Eukaryota, Metazoa, Chordata, Actinopteri, Gymnotiformes, Gymnotidae. The record is from Ensembl.